Cucumis melo (muskmelon) is the source of this 895-nucleotide long non-coding RNA. RefSeq lists it as uncharacterized. The transcript is spliced from 3 exons. Lineage: Eukaryota; Viridiplantae; Streptophyta; Magnoliopsida; Cucurbitales; Cucurbitaceae. The record is from RefSeq and is a predicted model, not a curated record.
AAUGGGUUAGACUUUGUCGUCUAUAUAUGCUUUCAGUUUUUGCUUAUUAAUUAUAUAAAUAGAGUAAGAAAAAAGGGCUAAAUUUGAUUAUAUAUAUAUAUAUAUAUAUAUAUAUAUAUCUAUGUUCUUUGUUUCUUUCAUUCUUUCUGUGUAUGGAUGUUAGCGUGGUCUUGCAGGCGAAAGAAGUAGAGGCGCGUAGAAGAUGGUGGGUGGCGCGUGAAUGAAAUCGAAGAGGUUUUAUGGCGGAAGAUGAGUUUUGAUAAUUGGAUGAAGGUAUUGACGUGUCUCAAUUUGAAAGGUACAUGGUUUAAUGUUUGCUAAAAAAAUUGGGAAAAUUAUUAAUUUGUGUUAGGGCUUAGCCGUGUGUGUUUUCUGAUUGAGCCGCGUCAAUAUCUCUUCUCAAAUUUUGCACCUCCGCCAACCUUUCUCUCUAUCAAGAUAUCUAGACCAGACUCUAUAAUCUUAGCAGUUAAUUGAGCAUAAGUAAGGUUUUUCCAAGGUAUUUGCUCGGGGUAUGAUCGUGGUUUAAGAGCUAAGCUUAUCGCUGCCAAAGAUCUAGUUUACCCAUCAAGUUCAGGUGCUCGUCAUCCAUAGAGGACUUAAGUAUAAUAUGUUUAGUAGUGUGGUACGAAUUGGUUGUAAUAUUCUAUUUGUAACUAGAAUUGGCAUUGUAUCGCUCUAAAGGCUUAUGAUUUUGCAUAUGAAUAGUCUCACUCUGAGUCAAGUUUCAGUUUAGUUUUCAAGUAUGUGUUGUUACAGAGAAUCGACAUAUACUGGCUUUACAUCUCAUCUCGUAGCUAGAGAUGGUGCUAGGGAAGGGGUGUGACACAACUUAACUCUUAUCUGCACAUGAUAGCUAGCUUUUGAUCAUGAAUAAGACUAAUGGUUUUGUAUA